AAAAAAUAAAAAAAUUAGCCUCAGCAGCACACACGCACAAACAUCAGUGUCUUUCAAUUUUUCACUCUUCUCCUCACAGAAAACCAAAAAACCCACGAAACCCUCUCCCCCAAAUCACCAAAUUUCUUAAACUUUUCCCUUAUUCUCCAUUCCCUUGUUCCAUCUUGCAUUCAUUCACUCUCCAGCACCCAUUCUUGCAUCUACUUCAUCCCCAAGAGGUAAGUUCUUCUCCACUUUCUUCAAAUUCUCUUCUUCUUCACAAUCUUGAAUUUUCCUUCUAUUUGGGUUGAAUUUUUAAUGUUUAUGGGUUGAAUAAUUAUGUGUAAUGCUUGCAUGUUGUUGGGUCUGAGUAGAAUUUGAUGAUUUAGAGUUAAAUUUGCUUAAAUUCUCACAUGCUCUAUUGUUGCUCACAAGGUGUCUGAUAAAAUUCUUCAAUGGAAAUUCAUGUUGUUUUGUGCAAAUUCAUGAAGUUUAUGGGGUAGGAUUUUACGGAGAAUGAUUAUUUGUCAUGGGAAGUGUGGCUCUUGAACAAUUAUGAUGAAAGUGAUUGUUAUUUUGAUGUUUACAACGUGCUCAUCAAUUGUAUGGUAAAGCUUUAAUUGAAAUUGAGCAACUCUUUUGGGGUAUAUACCUCUUGUUAAAAAUUAUCUAAACCGAAGAGUUGUAGCAGAUUCAAUUGUUGCUAAUGUAAGGUGUAGCUCAUAGUUUUUGAAGAUGAUUAAUUUGCUUAAGAUAUGAAAAGGGAGUGUAUGAAUUUGAACGGAUGUUGCUUAGCAUCGGCUAAAAAAUCAACGUUAAAUUUGGCGACGCUAAAUAUUUAGCGGCGGGGGGGGGGGGGGGGGGGGUGAACGGCCGCCCCUUUUUUCUUUUUUUUGUUUUACAACCGCCGCUAUAUAUAGAACAAUUUUUUACUUUUUCCGUCACUUAGUGGCGGUUUAAAUCGCCGCUAUUUAUUGUAUGCAAUUUGAGGAUUAUUUUUUUGCCCAGGACUGUUUCUGCAAAAUUUAGGCGUGUUUUUUUUACCUGAUUUCUUUUUCCACCAUUACAUAAUAAAUUAAAUAGUUAUAGACAUCAUGUAUGAUAAAAUGAGUAAAUUCAUAAAAUGAUCAUAAAAUAAAGUAACAUUAGAUAAAGUAAAGAGUUUUCCAACGUUUUUGGCAUAAGUGCACUACUAAUGCCAUUUCAGGUUCGAUACAUUAUGCAUGUGAUCAACAAGCCACCAAACACUAAACCAGAACAACCAACUCAAGAAAAUAUGCUUAAUAUUCAAAGAUAAGAUCAAUAAUCACAAUAACAGGAAAGCAUUCACAUUUGACACAAUUGACAGCACUUACAAUUAAGGUGUGUGGAACUCAAAUGUAUAAGUAUGAUCGAUCACAUUACAUAAUACAAAACAACACAUAUAUAGACUAGAGAGAAAAAAGAAACCUGGAAUCUUUCGUGCAGCUCAAAUGUUAGUUGAUCAAGCUACCAAUUCCUUUGUGUGCCUGCCUGACAACAAUUUUUAGAGAUUUUUUAACCUUGAUACAAUUAACAUAUAGAAUUAAAGCAAAUUAAUCACUAAAACUGCUACAGGAUUACUAAGUGUGAGGUUGGCCACAAUACAAACAUGGACACUAUAAACAUCAGCUAGUCCAGGAUAUCUCAUGAGAGAUCAAACAUGUCUUAGCAGAUUAUUUACGUCCAUAUAACAGUUUAAGAAUGAUCAGGUACAAGAACCACACAAUUAGAUACUGAAUAAGCAUGACUACAUUAAGAACCACAUAGAAUUUCUACUAAUCUGUUGUGAAUCUCAGUUCCACUUCUAUAACUGUUUUUGCUUUAUUGAUUAACUGUAGAGUUAUCAACAUGGUGCAGUUUCCUUUUGUUUCCCAACAAGUGCAUGUAAACAUGAAGAGCCAAAAGCUAACUUAAGUCAAGAUCACAGCACCUAGAUACACAACUCCACAAAGAAUGAAAAAAGAUAUUAAACCCCUGCGACAUUUGAGGCAAUUAAAUUGGCUAAGUGACAAUCUACAAGACUCAUACAUAAGCAUUCACCGGAUAUUUUUCCAUCUUUCAAAUGCAAAUAAUUUUGUUCCAUGCUUUUUCAAAUUUCACAAGAUGGCCAAUCAGAAUUUUUCUUAGCUUUUUUCUUAACAUUGGAGGUAAAAGUAAGUGAAUGGAGAAGAUAAGUGACCUAGUAAAGGAUAAAACUUGCCACAUCAUACAAAACAAACCAUCAUCCAACAUAUAGAAUAUAAUUCAUCACUUCCAUACAACUUGUGAGCUUUCUUCUCCUUCUUCUUCCAUAAAACUUCUUUCUCUCUGCACUGCCAAUAUAAAAACAUAAGGAGGCAUGUACUGAGAACAGUACAUGUAAUUUGAAAAUUGCACAUGAAGUCCACGGUGUCAAAUUUGGAAAAAGGGGAAGGAAAAAAGGACAAAGAAACCAAAGAGAAGUCUGCAUUGCUAAAAUGGAUUCAUAACAUUUAUUUCCCAAGAAGCAAAGAAAAGAAAAAUCACAACCUGCAUUUGACUAAAACCAUGGUAAACCUUGGGGAAGGUUUCCUUAUAUCAAAGACAUGUUCAAAACAAUAAAAAAGCUAUUUGAGACAAUGCAGAAACCAGAUACUUAAAUGUAAAGUACAAACCUCAAUCAUUACUGCAUGUAUUAUUCAAAACUGACACAAAAGAAGAAGAACCACACAAGCAUCACAAACAUUAGCCCCUAGCAAUUGUGAACCAAGUCUGUUAGCUGCACGAACAAGAACAAAAACACUUACAACAUCAUAGUCAAAUCCAUGAGAAUAAAAGUUCCAAUACAACCAUAAAAAACAUGAGUUCCAUGAAAAUAAAAGAAAUCCAUCGAUUAAGAUAGAGUAAAAAAACCUUAAAUGGAAUGCCUACGAUGAGUUUGGUAGCAAGUAACUUGUAGAGGAGCUCUAGCAUCUGUAAACAUCAAGGGAAAAAUAUUAGAAUGACAAAAGGAAGCCUUUCACCUUCUCUUAGGUCCAAGGUUGAAACACAAAAUAUCUGUCAAAUUCAAUGUUGAACAGAAAAAUAAUAUAUGCUUGAUGCAAGGCAAGUGAGGUCGAGACAUAACAUCCUUUCCUUGAAGUCUUGGUCUUGCCAAAAUGAAGACAACCAAACUAUCAACUCCAUGCAAAAUUGCAAAUGUUUAUUGAGGUGGGGACAUAUACCCAAGGCCUUGAAACAUAGCUUCAGUGCCUGAAGUUACACAAGAAAACCAGAAUGAAUUUGGCAUGAAUAAGGCUUAAGAAGAACCAAAAUUUUAACAGUGACACAGACCUGUAGCACAUAGAAAUACUCCUCCAAUCCAACCAUUUUUUCCCGUAACCCAAAAGAACUUGUAUAUGUAAUAUGGAGAAAGAGACUGAUAUAUUCUUGGAUUCCACUUGACGACAUUGUAAAUGCCAAUCAUGAAACGCUCAAAAAUUAUUUCACCGAGCAAAAAGAAAGAGAUAUAAUCUCAGUGUUUUAUUUAUGCAUUUAUCCAAAAACACUUACAACAUCAUAGCCUAGGCGAGUUUCCAGAGGUAAAGGAUGAAGCUUUUAGCCAAAAUGUGGUAUCUCAUCACCCUCAACAGACAUGGGAAUUAUCUAGAAUCUAUAAUAUCCAACACAUUGAAGGUACAAAAUAUGGUAUUCAUACACAGUAGAAAUAAAUCCGCUUUGGACUGUGCAAUUCUUGCAUGAAUGUAAAUUCGCAAGGGGUAUUAUGUAGCAUGAGCAUCAUAGUUAUAUGGAAAUUUUACAAUCUCAUCCUCUAAACUAUUUUCCCCAGUCUCAAACCUAAUCUUACAUACAGCGGCAACGACGUGCCAAACAGCAGCAACUAACAAGUCAAGUAAACAACGAACAAAGUGAAGGUCCAGAAGUGUUAUUACCUGAGGAAGAAAACCCAGUGCAAAUGGAGAUUUUUGGCGAGCAGAAACAGAGCUGGAACAGCGAACAGAGAUGGAACUCGAGAACAUCGAUUGGAACACGGAGGAAGAGAUCCGAGGGUAGCGAUGAGAAACUGAAGAAGCUUUGAAGGGAUGAAGACUCGACGAAGCUGUGAAGCGUUGAAGGAACUGGGGAUGCGGUGAAGCUGGUGCAUCCUCCUGCUUGUCAACAACGAUAUGUGAAGGGGUGAAGCGGUGGAGCGGUUUCAACGAAAUAGGGAACAUGGAUUGGGAAAUUUAGGGGAAUAUGGUUUCAAUUGUUUAUUUUGAGAAGAGGGUUUCGAAUUUUGAUUGUUAACAAAUUGGGGAGGGCGGGGAUUAAAAAUCGUGACCGCUGCUUGGAGCCAAAAUUCGAGAAAAUUUUAAUAUCAAAACAUAGCGGCGGCAUAAACCGCCGCUAAAUCACAAACCUUAAAAUUAAAUUGGUACGUUAGCGGCGGGGGGCCAGAACACACCACAAACAGUAUGAAUUUGAACGGAUGUCACUAACAAUGCUUCCAAUUUUGGAAAAUCUUCUUUGUCUAUUUUGUAGAUGGCUGGCAAAAGGAGGCAA
This 4500-nucleotide long non-coding RNA is filed under the name Lotus japonicus. Its description in RNAcentral is "long non-coding RNA (LJAP_LNC000801)". The record is from RNAcentral. Lineage: Eukaryota; Viridiplantae; Streptophyta; Magnoliopsida; Fabales; Fabaceae.